This 254-nucleotide ribosomal RNA is filed under the name uncultured bacterium. RNAcentral's name for it is "partial 16S ribosomal RNA". It matches the Rfam family "Bacterial small subunit ribosomal RNA", at positions 524 to 776 of the family's 1533-position model. The record is from RNAcentral.
UACGUAGGGGCCAAGCGUUGUCCGGAUUUAUUGGGCGUAAAGAGCUCGUAGGCGGUUGGGUAAGUCGGGUGUGAAAACUCCAGGCUCAACUUGGAGAUGCCACCCGAUACUGCUCUGACUUGAGUUCGGUAGGGGAGUGGGGAAUUCCUGGUGUAGCGGUGAAAUGCGCAGAUAUCAGGAGGAACACCGGUGGCUAAGGCGGUUCUCUAGUACGGUACUGACGCUGAGACGCGAAAGCGUGGGGAGCGAACAGG